UAUAGAUGGAUCCGCGCUGCAUUAGCUAGUUGGUAAGGUAACGGCUUACCAAGGCAACGAUGCAUAGCCGACCUGAGAGGGUGAUCGGCCACACUGGAACUGAGACACGGUCCAGACUCCUACGGGAGGCAGCAGUAGGGAAUCUUCCGCAAUGGGCGAAAGCCUGACGGAGCAACGCCGCGUGAGUGAUGAAGGUCUUCGGAUCGUAAAACUCUGUUAUUAGGGAAGAACAUAUGUGUAAGUAACUGUGCACAUCUUGACGGUACCUAAUCAGAAAGCCACGGCUAACUACGUGCCAGCAGCCGCGGUAAUACGUAGGUGGCAAGCGUUAUCCGGAAUUAUUGGGCGUAAAGCGCGCGUAGGCGGUUUUUUAAGUCUGAUGUGAAAGCCCACGGCUCAACCGUGGAGGGUCAUUGGAAACUGGAAAACUUGAGUGCAGAAGAGGAAAGUGGAAUUCCAUGUGUA
RNAcentral lists this ribosomal RNA (465 nucleotides) under Staphylococcus aureus. RNAcentral describes it as "bacterial SSU rRNA". It matches the Rfam family "Bacterial small subunit ribosomal RNA", at positions 220 to 677 of the family's 1533-position model. The record is from RNAcentral. Lineage: Bacteria; Bacillati; Bacillota; Bacilli; Caryophanales; Staphylococcaceae.